GAUGAAGAACGUAGCGAAAUGCGAUACUUGGUGUGAAUUGCAGAAUCCCGUGAACCAUCGAGUUUUUGAACGCAAGUUGCGCCCGAAGCCAUUAGGCCGAGGGCACGCCUGCCUGGGCGUCACACGUCGUUGCCCCCCCAUCUACUCCUUCGGGAUUGCGGGGGGCGGAUGAUGGCCUCUCGUGCGCCUCGUCGCGCGGUUGGCCUAAAUGCCAAGUCCUCGGCGACGCACGCCACGACAAUCGGUGGUUGCGAAACCUCGGUUGCCUGUCGUGUGCGGUCGUCGCGCAUCGAGGGCUCGAAAAAAUUGCCGGGUUCCGGCUCGGCUUUCAACGCGACCCCAGGUCAGGCGGGGUUACCCGCUGAAUUUAAGCAUAUCAAUAAGCGGAGGA
Molecule: unclassified non-coding RNA, 391 nt
Filed under: soil metagenome
Description: partial contains 5.8S ribosomal RNA, internal transcribed spacer 2, and large subunit ribosomal RNA
Rfam family: 5.8S ribosomal RNA (bases 1-122)
Source: RNAcentral